Molecule: long non-coding RNA, 600 nt
Organism: Silurus meridionalis
Lineage: Eukaryota; Metazoa; Chordata; Actinopteri; Siluriformes; Siluridae
Exons: 2
Source: RefSeq, a predicted model, not a curated record
GGAAGUACGUAUUUCCGCUAUGAUGACACACGUUGCAGUGAAACACAUAAUUGGUCAUGAAUGGAAGGCAGGUUCUGUGUGGAAGAGAACAAAUUCUCCUUUAACAACAGAUGCGGCGCCCGCCUCUGCCUCGGAAGCCAUGUUUGAAAACUAAAUCACGGGAUUAAAAGAAAUCUCGCGAGAACAGCGUCUUCUUCUCUGUUCACUGGGCACUUAGAUUUGAUACGUCCUGCCACCUAUAGGUUGCAAUGGAUCCUAAAUCUUAUUGGUACACUCUCUGGCCAAAAGUACUUUAUGAGGACACCUGCCCAUAAAUCCCCAAACUGCUGAAAACAUAAAAUCGUAUAGACAGCCUUUGUAUACUGUAGCAUUAAGAUUUCUCCUCAAUGGACCAAGAGACAUAUUCAAAAUAGCUGUGCAAAGGAGCAAUGACUUCAAGCCAGGCAGACAGCACGCCAAGCUUCUACCUUAACCUCAGUGCCCGACAAAGAAGGAGAAAAAAACCCUUCAGCCACACUUUAAGAUGGAAAGGGAGAAUAAACUCUAUGCUACUGAGAUUUGAUUUUAAAUGGGAUAUGCAAUAAACACAAAUAUAAGUCA